GACGGAGGAUCCAAGCGUUAUCCGGAUUUACUGGGCGUAAAGAGUUGCGUAGGUGGCAGUUUAAGCAAGUAGUGAAAUCUGGUGGCUCAACCAUCAACCCAUUAUUUGAACUGGACUGCUCGAGAACGAGAGAGGUCACUGGAAUUCCUUGUGUAGGAGUGAAAUCCGUAGAUAUAAGGAGGAACACCAAUGGCGUAGGCAGGUGACUGGCUCGUUUCUGACACUGAGGCACGAAAGCGUGGGGAGCGAACGGG
This 254-nucleotide ribosomal RNA is filed under the name uncultured bacterium. RNAcentral describes it as "partial 16S ribosomal RNA". It matches the Rfam family "Bacterial small subunit ribosomal RNA", at positions 524 to 776 of the family's 1533-position model. The record is from RNAcentral.